Molecule: non-coding RNA, 72 nt
Organism: Bos taurus (domestic cattle)
Lineage: Eukaryota; Metazoa; Chordata; Mammalia; Artiodactyla; Bovidae
Source: Rfam
UCCCUGGUGGCUCAGACGGUAAAGCAUCUAUCUGCAAUGCAGGAAACCCGGGUUUGAUCCCUGGGUUGGGAA